GGUGCAUUCGUCUAGUGGUCCAGGACGCCGCCCUCUCACGGCGGAAACUCGGGUUCGACCCCCGGACGCACUA
RNAcentral lists this transfer RNA (73 nucleotides) under Odoribacter splanchnicus. RNAcentral describes it as "tRNA-Glu". It matches the Rfam family "tRNA". Rfam says of the family: Transfer RNA (tRNA) molecules are approximately 80 nucleotides in length. Lineage: Bacteria; Pseudomonadati; Bacteroidota; Bacteroidia; Bacteroidales; Odoribacteraceae. The record is from RNAcentral. RNAcentral also lists the same sequence under 8 other names.